GUAGUUAGCCGGGGCUUCCUCCUUGGCUACCGUCAUUUGUUUCGUCACCAAGGACAGAGGUUUACAACCCGAAAGCCUUCUUCCCUCACGCGGCGUUGCUGGGUCAGGCUUGCGCCCAUUGCCCAAUAUUCCCCACUGCUGCCUCCCGUAGGAGUCUGGACCGUGUCUCAGUUCCAGUGUGGCCGAUCAGCCUCUCAGCUCGGCUACCCAUCGUCGACUUGGUGGGCCGUUACCCCGCCAACUAUCUAAUGGGACGCGAACCCCUCUUUCAGCGGAUUGCUCCUUUGACCUCAUCCCGAUGCCGGGUCGUGGUCUUAUGCGGUAUUAGCACUUGUUUCCAGGUGUUAUCCCCCUCUGAAAGGCAGGUUGUUCACGCGUUACUCACCCGUUCGCCACUAAAAUGUCAACCGAAAUCAACAUCUCCGUUCGACUUGCAUGUGUUAGGCACGCCGCCAGCGUUCGUCCUGAGCAGAUACAACUACUGA
Molecule: ribosomal RNA, 485 nt
Filed under: uncultured bacterium
Lineage: Bacteria
Description: partial 16S ribosomal RNA
Source: RNAcentral